RNAcentral lists this ribosomal RNA (2923 nucleotides) under Lactiplantibacillus plantarum. Its description in RNAcentral is "Lactobacillus plantarum 23S ribosomal RNA". It matches the Rfam family "Bacterial large subunit ribosomal RNA". The record is from RNAcentral. Lineage: Bacteria; Bacillati; Bacillota; Bacilli; Lactobacillales; Lactobacillaceae.
AGGUUAAGUUAACAAGGGCGCAUGGUGAAUGCCUUGGCACUAGGAGCCGAUGAAGGACGGGACUAACACCGAUAUGCUUCGGGGAGCUGUACGUAAGCUAUGAUCCGGAGAUUUCCGAAUGGGGCAACCCAGCAGUUUUAAUCAACUGUUACCACUAGAUGAAUUCAUAGUCUAGUUGGAGGUAAACGCUGUGAACUGAAACAUCUCAUUAGCAGCAGAAAUAUAAAGAAAUUUCGAUUCCCUAAGUAGCGGCGAGCGAACGGGGAACAGCCCAAACCAAAGUGCUUGCACUUUGGGGUUGUAGGACUGAACAUUUGAGUUACCAAAGAACUUGAUAGUCGAAGGAUUUGGGAAAAUCCGCCAUAGAUGGUGAUAGCCCAGUAGAUUAAAUCAAAUUCUCUCAGUUCAGGAUCCUGAGUACGGCGGAACACGUGAAAUUCCGUCGGAAUCCGGGAGGACCAUCUCCCAAGGCUAAAUACUACCUAGUGACCGAUAGUGAACCAGUACCGUGAGGGAAAGGUGAAAAGCACCCCGAGAGGGGAGUGAAAUAGUUCCUGAAACCAUGUGCCUACAAUAAGUCAGAGCGCGUUAAUGCGUGAUGGCGUGCCUUUUGUAGAAUGAACCGGCGAGUUAUGAUCCCGUGCAAGGUUAAGACUAAAAAGUCGGAGCCGUAGCGAAAGCGAGUCUGAAAUGGGCGUUUUGAGUACGAGAUUAUAGACCCGAAACCAGGUGACCUAUCCAUGUCCAGGUUGAAGGUGCGGUAAAACGCACUGGAGGACCGAACCCGUGUAAGUUGAAAAUUGCUGGGAUGAGGUGUGGAUAGCGGUGAAAUUCCAAACGAACUUGGAGAUAGCUGGUUCUCUCCGAAAUAGCUUUAGGGCUAGCCUCGGAAUUAGGAUCAUGGAGGUAGAGCACUAUUUGGACUAGGGGCCCGUCUUGGGUUACUGAAUUCAGAUAAACUCCGAAUGCCAUUGAUUCAUAUCCGGGAGUCAGACGAUGAGUGAUAAGAUCCACCGUCGAAAGGGGAACAGCCCAGACCAUCAGUUAAGGUCCCUAAAUGUAUGCUAAGUGGAAAAGGAUGUGGAGUUGCAUAGACAACUAGGAUGUUGGCUCAGAAGCAGCCACCAUUUAAAGAGUGCGUAAUAGCUCACUAGUCGAGUGAUCCUGCGCCGAAAAUGUACCGGGGCUAAGCAUACUACCGAAACCAUGGAUGCGACCAUUAGGUCGCGUGAUAGGAGAGCGUUCUAAGGGCGGUGAAGCAAGAUCGUGAGGACUUGUGGAGCGCUUAGAAGUGAGAAUGCCGGUAUGAGUAGCGAAAGAUAGGUGAGAAUCCUAUCCACCGAAUGACUAAGGUUUCCUGGGGAAGGCUCGUCCUCCCAGGGUUAGUCGGGACCUAAGUCGAGGCCGAGAGGCGUAGACGAUGGAUAACAGGUUGAGAUUCCUGUACUAGUUAAGUGCGUUUGAGCAAUGGAGGGACGCAGGAGGCUAAGAUGUGCAUUCUGUUGGAUUAGAAUGUCCAAGCAGCAAGUCUUGUGAAGAGUCAAAUGCUUUUCACUUUAAGGACAAGCUGUGAUGGGGAGCGAAAUUUAGUAGCGAAGCGUCUGAUGUCACACUGCCGAGAAAAGCUUCUAGUGAGUACUUAACUACCCGUACCGCAAACCGACACAGGUAGUCGAGGAGAGAAUCCUAAGGUGAGCGAGUGAACUCUCGUUAAGGAACUCGGCAAAAUGACCCCGUAACUUCGGGAGAAGGGGUGCUGAUCGCAAGAUCAGCCGCAGUGAAUAGGCCCAGGCGACUGUUUAUCAAAAACACAGGUCUCUGCAAAAUCGUAAGAUGACGUAUAGGGGCUGACGCCUGCCCGGUGCUGGAAGGUUAAAAGGAUGGGUUAGCUUCGGCGAAGCUCAGAAUUGAAGCCCCAGUAAACGGCGGCCGUAACUAUAACGGUCCUAAGGUAGCGAAAUUCCUUGUCGGGUAAGUUCCGACCCGCACGAAAGGCGUAACGAUCUGGGCACUGUCUCAACGAGAGACUCGGUGAAAUUAUAUUGUCCGUGAAGAUGCGGACUACCCGCGACAGGACGGAAAGACCCCAUGGAGCUUUACUGUAGCUUGAUAUUGAGUGUUUGUACAGCUUGUACAGGAUAGGUAGGAGCCAUAGAAACCGGAACGCUAGUUUCGGUGGAGGCGUUGGUGGGAUACUACCCUCGCUGUAUGACCACUCUAACCCGCACCACUAAUCGUGGUGGGAGACAGUGUCAGGUGGGCAGUUUGACUGGGGCGGUCGCCUCCUAAAAAGUAACGGAGGCGCCCAAAGGUUCCCUCAGAAUGGUUGGAAAUCAUUCGCAGAGUGUAAAGGCACAAGGGAGCUUGACUGCGAGACAGACAGGUCGAGCAGGGACGAAAGUCGGGCUUAGUGAUCCGGUGGUACCGUAUGGAAGGGCCAUCGCUCAACGGAUAAAAGCUACCCUGGGGAUAACAGGCUUAUCUCCCCCAAGAGUCCACAUCGACGGGGAGGUUUGGCACCUCGAUGUCGGCUCAUCGCAUCCUGGGGCUGUAGUCGGUCCCAAGGGUUGGGCUGUUCGCCCAUUAAAGCGGUACGCGAGCUGGGUUCAGAACGUCGUGAGACAGUUCGGUCCCUAUCCGUCGCGGGCGUAGGAAAUUUGAGAGGACCUGUCCUUAGUACGAGAGGACCGGGAUGGACAUACCUCUGGUGUACCAGUUGUGCCGCCAGGCGCAUCGCUGGGUAGCUACGUAUGGAUGUGAUAAACGCUGAAAGCAUCUAAGUGUGAAACACACCUCGAGAUGAGAUUUCCCAUUCCUUUAUGGAAGUAAGACCCCUGAAAGAUGAUCAGGUAGAUAGGUUAGAAGUGGCAGUGCGGUGACGCAUGAAGCGGACUAAUACUAAUCGGUCGAGGACUUAACCAAG